GGUCUCAUAGUUCAACGGAUAGAAUAGAAGUUUCCUAAACUUUAGAUGCAGGUUCGAUUCCUGCUGAGACCA
This 72-nucleotide transfer RNA is filed under the name Bacteroidota bacterium. RNAcentral describes it as "Bacteroidetes bacterium (activated sludge metagenome) tRNA-Arg". It matches the Rfam family "tRNA". Rfam says of the family: Transfer RNA (tRNA) molecules are approximately 80 nucleotides in length. Their secondary structure includes four short double-helical elements and three loops (D, anti-codon, and T loops). Lineage: Bacteria; Pseudomonadati; Bacteroidota. The record is from RNAcentral.